CCUACGGGGGGCAGCAGUGGGGAAUAUUGCACAAUGGGGGAAACCCUGAUGCAGCGACGCCGCGUGAGUGAAGAAGUAUUUCGGUAUGUAAAGCUCUCUCAGCAGGGAAGAAGAAGGACGGUACCUGAGUAAGAAGCCCCGGCUAACUACGUGCCAGCAGCCGCGGUAAUACGUAGGGGGCAAGCGUUAUCCGGAUUUACUGGGUGUAAAGGGAACGUAGACGGCGAAGAAAGUCUGGAGUGAAAGCCCGCGGCUCA
Molecule: ribosomal RNA, 257 nt
Filed under: uncultured bacterium
Lineage: Bacteria
Description: partial 16S ribosomal RNA
Rfam family: Bacterial small subunit ribosomal RNA
Source: RNAcentral